GCCUGCCUCAGCCUCAGCCCUGCACACCGUGCUCAACCCUCAUUCACCCCAAGAACCAGCGAGCUGGGGAGCUGCAGCGUGAUUGAUGGGCCCCAGCUUGAAUGGAAAGUCCAGAUCCCAGGGAGACAGCUUAAGAGACACAGAGCACAGCGGGAAGUGAAACCACCCACGGGAAUCCAGCAACAGAAACGUCCCCACACCGGGCAGCCAGCGAUGGCAGAUGGAGUCAGGCCAGACAGAGACUGGAUGGUCACCAAAAGUCAUGGGCACGGGGAAGUCCGGCGCUGGAGGGAGGACAGUAAAGCAACCUCUUCCUAAAGAUGCAGACCCGGGAGAAGUCUGUGGCACAGAUAGGAGGGGUGAUUUGCCCAAGGUCCCACAACUAAAAAGCGGCUGAACAUCUUUGUCUUCUUAACCAACUUCCUAUAUCCACCAAAGAGCGUGAGACCUCCAUGACACAUUUCCGUAGUUGGGUGCUUCAUUCCUGUACAUCAUCUUAUGAUAUCAUCAGCAAUGACAACUCUAUGAGACAGGACCCGCAGACUGGCCUGGACAUGGCUCCUCUCAUGGCAAUGAAAGCACAAGUGGAAAUCCUGGAGGUUUAAUGGGACAAGCGAAUUACAUGGCCAAGCCCGAAGGCAAAAGGCUGGGAAAAAGGACCUGCAAAGUUACUGGGCAAAGACUGCUGAGACAGUAAAAGGAUGCAGAAUCGGGGCCAAAAACACAAUCUACCAUAUUCUCUCCCUUCCCCAAAUCUUCCCCCACAGACCUUUGACAUGGCUUACAAUCCCGCUCUUAAGACUAUGUCUUUGCAUUCACAUAGUGUCUGCAUAAGGUCCUUGGGAAGGGGAGGACAUUACGCCCAGCUCCUUAACCCUCCAGCAGCAUUUGCGGUUCGCAGACAAAAGGGG
Mustela erminea (ermine) is the source of this 911-nucleotide long non-coding RNA. RefSeq lists it as uncharacterized. The transcript is spliced from 4 exons. NCBI's taxonomy places the organism in Eukaryota, Metazoa, Chordata, Mammalia, Carnivora, Mustelidae. The record is from RefSeq and is a predicted model, not a curated record.